AGGGCACUGAGUGAGGGGUCCCUGUUCCUGCAGGCCGGUGGCCGAGAGCUCCCUCUACCGACAGCGGCUGGAGGUCAUCGCCGUAAGUGACCCCGCCCGGGAACCCCAAGGCCUCCCUCCCCUGCCGGGUCCAGGGCACCCCAUAAACCCCAGCAUGCCGCCUCCAUUCUCCCGCUUUCUGCUCCCUCGGAAAGGUGGGGCUGCAGCCCGGCACGCCCAGACAUUCCCAGACACCCCAUGUCCGAGCCCCUGCCAAGCCCUGCGGCUUAGCACCCCAUCCCUGGAGCCCUCCCUAGGGACCCUUUGGCCCAGCCCUUCCGCGGACUCCGCCCCGCCUCCAUCUCGUACUCUUGUCUCUCAGCCCCCAACUCUCUGAGUUCUGCAUCACUUCCCAGCCCUCCUCUGGACCCCGAUUUCCCUGCCCCCCCAUAUUUGCACCCCCACUUCUCUGACCCCCCAAAUCUCUGAUCUGCAUCUCUGUGCCCCAUCUUUCUGUUCUCCACUUCUUCCCUGGUCUCUCCGGGGUUCUCCCAGCUGUACCCCACCUCGGACUGACACCUUCCUGCGCAUCCCCAAAUCUAGACCCCUCCCACCUCUGCGCACCGGAUCCGGGGAUCCCCUCCGACUGGAUUUCCCUACCCGAGGCUCCGCCCCCCAACCCCUCCAGGACCCCUAUUGGGCGCGGCGUGGCCUCCGCUGCCUCUCGGCCACGCCCCCUGCCCGCUGCCGCUGCUGAGUCAGCGCCUCGACGGCCCCUCCCCCUCUCAUACCCCACCCCCCAGCAGGGCUGGACCCCCGGGAGGGGAGGGGGAGGGAAGGGAAGGGGGAGAGGAGGUCCCGCCCAGCCCGCGCUCUGCGCAGGAGAAGCGGCGGCUGCAGGAGCGGAUCCGCGCCGCACGCCGCGAGCUGGAGGAGGAGAAGCUGCGCGUGCAGCGGCUCAAGGUGCGGGCGCCGCCCGGGCUUCUCCCACAUCGGAGCGUGGGUGCGGUGGCCGUGGGGGCGACUGUCGUGUCCCAGUUCCGGGGGGCCCGGUCAGCUUUGGGUCGGGGUCCCCAGCGUGGCGGUGGGGCACUGGCUUCUCCGCCCCUUCGGAAGCCGGGGGGCCGGGGCGGGGCGCCCCAGAGUCCGCGAGGCUGCUGGGCGCGCGGGGUGCACGGGCGGGGCGCACGGGGUGCACCGCGGGAGCCCAGCGCGGCUCCUCCUGUGCGCAGAGGAAAUCCCUGCGCGAGCGCUGGCUGAUGGACGGCGCCGCGGAGACCCCGCAGCAGCCCGGGGACCCCGCCGCCCAGGAUCCCCAGUCACCCGAGGGCCAGGCCCAGACUCGCAUCCGCAGCCUGGAGGACAGCUUGUUCACGUGAGCGCAGCUCCUGGCCGGGGCGGGGGACGCGGAGGGCGCCCGGGUCCCCUCCCAGCUGCGCCCUCUCUCCGCAGGCUCCAGGCCCAGCUGCAGCUGUUGCAGAGCGCGUCCGCGGGCGCGCAGCCCCGAUCCCCGGCCAGGCCCGCCUGGCGCAGGCAGGGUCACCGGCCUCUCUCCCAGCCCGCCAUGGAGACAGGUCCUGCAGGUGAGUAUCGGCGGCCUCGGGUCUGGGGCUCAGGUCACCCCCAGACUGCACAGCCUGCCGGUCAUCCUCACCACCUCCUCCCCCUUCUCUCCUCUCUGGUUCCAUUAGGUCAGGCGGAUGUGGACAAGAGAGCGUCCCUGCCGGUGGGGCCCACGGGUUUGUUCCUAGAGUCCCACUCUGAGCCCAGAGAGGGGGCCCCCGGGCAGGUCCCUGGGGCAGGAGGGUACCCUCAAGAAGCCAACGGCCCCUGCUCGGGGCCCAGCCCUCCUCAGGAGCAGCGGCAGAGCCCGGGGCCAGGGACCACAGCGGAGGGGGACACUGCAAAGGCCCGAGCUGGGAAUGUGGUGGAGGUGGUGUGGGAGGGGCUCCGGGGGCCCCAGGACUGUGUCACAGGUGCUACCGGCCCGGAGUUGGAGGCCAGGGUGGAGCAAGUGGUGUUGGAGGCCUUGAGGGACAGACAGGGGCCCGGCAGCCCCGAGCUCCCUGCCUGGGCACAAGAGAACAGGGGUGUGGUGGAGGUGGUCUGGGAGGGGCUGGGGGGCCGUGACCCUGAGGCCCUGGGUGGUGUGGGCCCAGGGCUCCAGGAACGCCUGGGGGGUGAGGGGUCCCCAGACAGGGAGCCCAACAGGCAGGCAGGACCCGCUGGGGAUGCGGGUUCCUUCAUCUGGGUGGAGAGGGUGACGGUGGGGGAGGAUUGGGAGGAGCUGCUGAUGGAGGGGCUCGAGGGACCCGUGGAGGCUG
Molecule: long non-coding RNA, 2303 nt
Filed under: Cavia porcellus (domestic guinea pig)
Lineage: Eukaryota; Metazoa; Chordata; Mammalia; Rodentia; Caviidae
Description: lncRNA (ENSCPOG00000038011.1)
Source: RNAcentral